GAGUUUGAUCAUGGCUCAGGAUGAACGCUGGCGGCGUGCUUAACACAUGCAAGUCGAACGAACCUUCGGGUUAGUGGCGGACGGGUGAGUAACGCGUGGGAAUCUGCCCUCAGGAGGGGGAUAACGGUUGGAAACGACCGCUAAUACCCCAUAUGCCGAGAGGUGAAAUGAAUUUCGCCUGAGGAUGAGCCCGCGUCUGAUUAGCUUGUUGGUGAGGUAAUGGCUCACCAAGGCUUCGAUCAGUAGCUGGUCUGAGAGGAUGAUCAGCCACACUGGGACUGAGACACGGCCCAGACUCCUACGGGAGGCAGCAGUGGGGAAUUUUCCGCAAUGGGCGAAAGCCUGACGGAGCAACGCCGCGUGAGGGACGAAGGCCUCUGGGCUGUAAACCUCUUUUCUCAAGGAAGAAGAUAUGACGGUACUUGAGGAAUAAGCCACGGCUAAUUCCGUGCCAGCAGCCGCGGUAAUACGGGAGUGGCAAGCGUUAUCCGGAAUUAUUGGGCGUAAAGCGUCCGUAGGCGGCCUUUCAAGUCUGCUGUUAAAACGUGGAGCUUAACUCCAUCAUGGCAGUGGAAACUGAUUGGCUUGAGUAUGGUAGGGGCAGAGGGAAUUCCCGGUGUAGCGGUGAAAUGCGUAGAUAUCGGGAAGAACACCAGUGGCGAAGGCGCUCUGCUGGGCCAUUACUGACGCUCAUGGACGAAAGCCAGGGGAGCGAAAGGGAUUAGAUACCCCUGUAGUCCUGGCCGUAAACGAUGAACACUAGGUGUCGGGGGAAUCGACCCCUUCGGUGUCGUAGCUAACGCGUUAAGUGUUCCGCCUGGGGAGUACGCACGCAAGUGUGAAACUCAAAGGAAUUGACGGGGCCCGCACAAGCGGUGGAGUAUGUUGUUUAAUUCGAUGCAACGCGAAGAACCUUACCAGGGCUUGACAUCCUGAGAACCUUUAAGAAAUUAGAGGGUGCCUUCGGGAACGCAGUGACAGGUGGUGCAUGGCUGUCGUCAGCUCGUGUCGUGAGAUGUUGGGUUAAGUCCCGCAACGAGCGCAACCCACGUUUUUAGUUGCCAGCAUUUAGUUGGGCACUCUAGAAAGACCGCCGGUGAUAAACCGGAGGAAGGUGUGGAUGACGUCAAGUCAUCAUGCCCCUUACGUCCUGGGCUACACACGUACUACAAUGCUACGGACAAAGGGCAGCAAACUCGCGAGAGCUAGCAAAUCCCAUAAACCGUGGCUCAGUUCAGAUCGUAGGCUGCAACUCGCCUACGUGAAGUAGGAAUCGCUAGUAAUCGCAGGUCAGCAUACUGCGGUGAAUACGUUCCCGGGCCUUGUACACACCGCCCGUCACACCAUGGAAGUUGGCCACGCCCGAAGUCGUUACUUUAACCCUUGUGGAGAAGGACGCCGAAGGUGGGGCUGAUGACUGGGGUGAAGUCGUAACAAGGUAACC
This 1444-nucleotide ribosomal RNA is filed under the name uncultured marine cyanobacterium. RNAcentral describes it as "bacterial SSU rRNA". It matches the Rfam family "Bacterial small subunit ribosomal RNA". Lineage: Bacteria; Bacillati; Cyanobacteriota. The record is from RNAcentral.